UGCCAUUGUAGCUGCACCAUCUCUUCUCUGGUGAAGGAGCAGUUGGUUCUUUAGCCACAUCUAAGGGAAAGUCAUCAAUGGGGAAAUAUUACUACUAGGACUGAACUUAAUCAGAAGAUUCUUCACACAAAUGGAGCUUAUGGUUUGACAUUUCCUCUCUUAUUGAAUGGUUGAAUGCAUUUUGUAAGGAGUUACAACAUACAUGGAUGAAGGGAUUUGAGAUCAAUAAUUUUCAUUUUUAUUGUGGUUUAUUAUAU
Nelumbo nucifera (sacred lotus) is the source of this 257-nucleotide long non-coding RNA. RefSeq lists it as uncharacterized. Lineage: Eukaryota; Viridiplantae; Streptophyta; Magnoliopsida; Proteales; Nelumbonaceae. The record is from RefSeq and is a predicted model, not a curated record.